Molecule: ribosomal RNA, 545 nt
Filed under: Bifidobacterium longum subsp. suillum
Lineage: Bacteria; Bacillati; Actinomycetota; Actinomycetes; Bifidobacteriales; Bifidobacteriaceae
Description: bacterial SSU rRNA
Rfam family: Bacterial small subunit ribosomal RNA
Source: RNAcentral
ACAACGGGUGGUAAUGCCGGAUGCUCCAGUUGAUCGCAUGGUCUUCUGGGAAAGCUUUCGCGGUAUGGGAUGGGGUCGCGUCCUAUCAGCUUGACGGCGGGGUAACGGCCCACCGUGGCUUCGACGGGUAGCCGGCCUGAGAGGGCGACCGGCCACAUUGGGACUGAGAUACGGCCCAGACUCCUACGGGAGGCAGCAGUGGGGAAUAUUGCACAAUGGGCGCAAGCCUGAUGCAGCGACGCCGCGUGAGGGAUGGAGGCCUUCGGGUUGUAAACCUCUUUUAUCGGGGAGCAAGCGAGAGUGAGUUUACCCGUUGAAUAAGCACCGGCUAACUACGUGCCAGCAGCCGCGGUAAUACGUAGGGUGCAAGCGUUAUCCGGAAUUAUUGGGCGUAAAGGGCUCGUAGGCGGUUCGUCGCGUCCGGUGUGAAAGUCCAUCGCUUAACGGUGGAUCCGCGCCGGGUACGGGCGGGCUUGAGUGCGGUAGGGGAGACUGGAAUUCCCGGUGUAACGGUGGAAUGUGUAGAUAUCGGAAAAGAAACACCA